This is a small nucleolar RNA of Ursus americanus (American black bear), 104 nucleotides long. The record is from Ensembl. Lineage: Eukaryota; Metazoa; Chordata; Mammalia; Carnivora; Ursidae.
AUCCUUUCGUAAUUCAUAAGCAUGAUGAUUGCGGGUUCACACUGUUGUGUGACAAGUGCCUCCCUCAAACCUUGUUAUGACCUUGGCACAUUACCCAUCUGACG